GUAAUACGGAGGGUGCAAGCGUUACUCGGAAUCACUGGGCGUAAAGAGCGUGUAGGCGGAUAGGUAAGUCAGAAGUGAAAUCCAAUAGCUCAACUAUUGAACUGCUUUUGAAACUGCUUAUCUAGAAUAUGGGAGAGGUAGAUGGAAUUUCUGGUGUAGGGGUAAAAUCCGUAGAGAUCAGAAGGAAUACCGAUUGCGAAGGCGAUCUACUGGAACAUUAUUGACGCUGAGACGCGAAAGCGUGGGGAGCAAACAGGAUUAGAUACCCUGGUAGUCCACGCCCUAAACGAUGUACACUAGUUGUUGUGAGGCUCGACCUUGCAGUAAUGCAGUUAACACAUUAAGUGUACCGCCUGGGGAGUACGGUCGCAAGAUUAAAACUCAAAGGAAUAGACGGGGACCCGCACAAGCGGUGGAGCAUGUGGUUUAAUUCGACGAUACACGAAGAACCUUACCUGGACUUGACAUAGUAAGAACUUUCUAGAGAUAGAUUGGUGUCUGCUUGCAGAAACUUAUAUACAGGUGCUGCACGGCUGUCGUCAGCUCGUGUCGUGAGAUGUUGGGUUAAGUCCCGCAACGAGCGCAACCCUCGUCAUUAGUUGCUAACAGUUCGGCUGAGAACUCUAAUGAGACUGCCUACGCAAGUAGGAGGAAGGUGAGGAUGACGUCAAGUCAUCAUGGCCCUUACGUCCAGGGCUACACACGUGCUACAAUGGGGUAUACAAAGAGCAGCAAUACGGUGACGUGGAGCAAAUCUCAAAAAUAUCUCCCAGUUCGGAUUGUAGUCUGCAACUCGACUACAUGAAGUUGGAAUCGCUAGUAAUCGUAGAUCAGCUAUGCUACGGUGAAUACGUUCCCGGGUCUUGUACUCACCGCCCGUCACACCAUGGGAGUUGAACUCAUUCGAAGCGGGGAUGCUAAAAUAGCUACCUUCCACAGUGGAUUCAGCAGACUGGGGUGAAGUCGUAACAAGGUAGCCGUAAAUCGU
RNAcentral lists this ribosomal RNA (988 nucleotides) under uncultured bacterium. Its description in RNAcentral is "bacterial SSU rRNA". It matches the Rfam family "Bacterial small subunit ribosomal RNA", at positions 520 to 1510 of the family's 1533-position model. The record is from RNAcentral.